CGGGUGAGUAACGCGUGGGUAACCUGCCUCAUACAGGGGGAUAACAGUUAGAAAUGGCUGCUAAUACCGCAUAAGCGCACGGUACUGCAUGGUACAGUGUGAAAAACUCCGGUGGUAUGAGAUGGACCCGCGUUGGAUUAGCUAGUUGGCAGGGUAACGGCCUACCAAGGCGACGAUCCAUAGCCGGCCUGAGAGGGUGGACGGCCACAUUGGGACUGAGACACGGCCCAG
Molecule: ribosomal RNA, 231 nt
Filed under: uncultured bacterium
Lineage: Bacteria
Description: partial 16S ribosomal RNA
Rfam family: Bacterial small subunit ribosomal RNA
Source: RNAcentral